RNAcentral lists this ribosomal RNA (474 nucleotides) under Triticum aestivum (bread wheat). RNAcentral's name for it is "partial small subunit ribosomal RNA". Lineage: Eukaryota; Viridiplantae; Streptophyta; Magnoliopsida; Poales; Poaceae. The record is from RNAcentral.
UGUCUAAAAGGUGUACUACCCUGUUUGGGUAUUCUUGCUGGGCGUCACAUCCCUACGUCCGCACAGUGUCCGGUUUGUAAGAUUGGGUUAGAGGACAUCCAACAUUGCCUCUUCAGUUGCCAGAGAGCGAUGAAAAUCUGGGAAGAACUGGGACUAUCAGAAGACAUCAAGAAAGCUAUCGCCGAAGACCGGUCGGGUUCGAUAACGAUGGAAAUACUGCAAAGAGCCCAAGAUAGUGCAGACGGAUUGCCAAAAGCAGAAUUAUUUGCAGUUGCAGCGUGGUAUAUUUGGUGGCAGAGAAGACAGCUUGUCAAGGGGGAAAGUAUAACGUCCCCGGAGCGUACUGCUACUACUAUCAAGGUACUGUGUACAAACUUCUUCCGAGCUUCAAAAACUAAUAUACCAGAUAGAAAACGAGAGCAGAUGUGGAGGAAACCACCUAGAGGAUGGGUGAAGAUUAACGUCGAUGCCUAG